GCGAGAGUGGCGAAAUUGGCAGACGCGCACGUUUGAGGGGCGUGUGGUUCCACCGUACGGGUUCAAGUCCCGUCUCUCGCACCA
RNAcentral lists this transfer RNA (84 nucleotides) under Clostridia bacterium. RNAcentral describes it as "tRNA-Leu". It matches the Rfam family "tRNA". From Rfam's summary of the family: Transfer RNA (tRNA) molecules are approximately 80 nucleotides in length. Their secondary structure includes four short double-helical elements and three loops (D, anti-codon, and T loops). Further hydrogen bonds mediate the characteristic L-shaped molecular structure. tRNAs have two regions of fundamental functional importance: the anti-codon, which is responsible for specific mRNA codon recognition, and the 3' end, to which the tRNAs corresponding amino acid is attached (by aminoacyl-tRNA synthetases). tRNAs cope with the degeneracy of the genetic code in two manners: having more than one tRNA (with a specific anti-codon) for a particular amino acid; and 'wobble' base-pairing, i.e. permitting non-standard base-pairing at the 3rd anti-codon position. Lineage: Bacteria; Bacillati; Bacillota; Clostridia. The record is from RNAcentral.